Molecule: ribosomal RNA, 253 nt
Filed under: uncultured bacterium
Lineage: Bacteria
Description: partial 16S ribosomal RNA
Rfam family: Bacterial small subunit ribosomal RNA
Source: RNAcentral
UACGGAGGGGGCUAGCGUUGUUCGGAAUUACUGGGCGUAAAGCGCGCGCAGGCGGUUCUUCAAGUCAGAGGUGAAAGCCCAGAGCUCAACUCUGGAAUGGCCUUUGAGACUAGAGAACUAGGGUACGGGAGAGGUGAGUGGAAUUCCGAGUGUAGAGGUGAAAUUCGUAGAUAUUCGGAAGAACACCAGUGGCGAAGGCGGCUCACUGGCCCGUUACCGACGCUCAGGCGCGACAGCGUGGGGAGCAAACAGG